Molecule: non-coding RNA, 1967 nt
Organism: Callithrix jacchus (white-tufted-ear marmoset)
Lineage: Eukaryota; Metazoa; Chordata; Mammalia; Primates; Cebidae
Source: RefSeq, a predicted model, not a curated record
CAGAGUGGCUUUCUUUUCUCUUCCAGAUAUUAUUCUUUUAUGAAGAAUAAAGAGGUAUUGAAAUAAGGUUUUUACCACACAGUCAUUAAUUUUUUAUGUGCUUAUGUACUUAUCCAUGGCUAUAGUUAAAAUGCUUUUAGUAUUUUUCUUAAAAAUAUUAUUUUUUUCUUUUGGGAUUUAAGCAUUUAGCAAAUCUCAAGGUUUUAAUUUAUUCAUUCAACAACUAUUUGUUGAAUGCCCAUUGCAUACACAGGCACUUUAUUUUUAUUUUUGAGACAGAGUCUUGCUCUGUCACCCAGGCUGGAGUACUGAGGCGUGAUCUAGGCUCACUGCAACAUCCACCACCCGGGUUCAAGGGAUUCUUGUGCCUCAGAUUCCCAAGUAGCUGGGAUUACAGGCACGUACCACCAUGCCCAGCUAUUAUUUGUGUAUUUCAUAGAGAUGGGUUUUGCCAUGUUGGCUAGUUUGGUCUUGAACUCUGACCACAAGUGAUCCAUUCCACCUUGGCCUCCCAAAGUACUGGGAUUACAGGUGUGAGCCACUGUCCCUGGACCACAGGUACUUUAAAAACCACAAUAGGUAGAAACUCUAUUUCUAAUAACCAACUGUAACAAUUCUAAAUAUUUUUUUGGUAGAAUAUUCAGCUCAUUUCAGAGCUUAUAUUUGGUGAUUUUUUAAUUUGUUUUUUUGAAACGGUGUCUUGCUCUGUCACCCAGGCUGGAAUGCAGUGGUGCAAUCUGGGCUCACUGCAACCUCCACCUCCCAGGAGAACAUGCCCAGCUAAUUGUUUUGAUUUUUGGUAGAGAUGGAGGUUUCACCGUGUUGGCCAGGCUGGUUUCGAACUUCUUACCUAAGUGAUCUGCCUGCCUUGGCCUCUGCCUCAGUGCUGGGAUUAUAGGCAUAAACCAUUGCACCUGACGAUUUUUUUUAAUUUUUAAAAAUCCAUGAAUACAUAAAAAGAUAACACACUAAGAAAUUUAUUUUUUUCCGACAGAAAAGGAAGCUUCUAUGUAUCAUUUUUAUCUAGACUUUUAUAUGUGUUUAGUCAUAUUUACUAUACUUUUGUUUUUUGUUUUGUUUGAGACGGAGUCUUGCUCUGUCUCCCAGGCUGGAGUGUGAUGGCGUGAUCCUCGCUCACUACAACCUCCGCCUACCAGGUUUAAGUGAGUCUCCUGCUUCAGCCUCCCAUGUAGCUGGGAUUACAGGUGCUUGCCACCACGUCCGGCUAGUUUUUGUAUUUUUAGUAGAGACAGGGUUUCACUAUGUUGGUCAGGUUGGUCUUGAACUCCUGACCUCGAACAGUCUACCUGCCUUGGCCUCCAAAGUGCUGGGAUUAGAGGCAAGAGCCACCACUCCCAGCCUACUAUACUUUUCUUACUAGAAUUAGGAAAACAUGAAAAUCGUGACUUUUGUAGCUUACAAAAAUAUUACUCUUCCAUGUAAAUACAAAUACCUAAAAAAAAGCUUGACUAGGUGUGGUGGCUCAUGCCUGUAAUCCCAGUACUUUGGGAGGCUGAGGUGAGAGAAUCACUUAAGGCCAGAAGUUUGAGACCAGACAACACAAUGAGACUUCAUCUUUAUGGUGUGCACCUAUAGAGCCAACUACUCAAGAAGCUGAGGCAGGAGGAUCGCUUGAGUCCAGGAGGUUGAGCCUUCAGUGAACUAUGAUUGCACCACUACACUUCAGCCUGGGUGAUAGAAUUAGACCCUGUCUCUGAUAAAAAAUAAAAAUAAAAAACUUUGUUAGAAGAGUAUAUUAUUUGAAUGUUUAAGAAUUGUACUUCUGGAUUUAGGAACUGUUCUUCAGAGGAUUUGAAGAUAUACAGGCAUUUGCCCUUUGCUCCACAUUUCAGAAAAACCAUGAGCACUGAGAGAAGUCUCCUUUGGCACUCCCAUGGCACUGUGGAUGAGAUGCCUCUCCCUCCUUGGCUCUGUGUGUGUGUGUGUGUGUGUGUGUGUGUGUGUGU